Molecule: ribosomal RNA, 405 nt
Filed under: uncultured bacterium
Lineage: Bacteria
Description: bacterial SSU rRNA
Rfam family: Bacterial small subunit ribosomal RNA
Source: RNAcentral
UGGGGAAUCUUGGACAAUGGGCGCAAGCCUGAUCCAGCCAUGCCGCGUGGAUGAUGAAGGCCUUAGGGUUGUAAAAUCCUUUCGCCGAGGACGAUAAUGACGGUACUCGGAGAAGAAGCUCCGGCUAACUUCGUGCCAGCAGCCGCGGUAAUACGAAGGGGGCUAGCGUUGUUCGGAUUUACUGGGCGUAAAGGGCGCGUAGGCGGCAAUUCAAGUCAUCUGUGAAAUCUCCGGGCUUAACUCGGAACGGUCAGAUGAUACUGCUUUGCUAGAGUGCAGAAGGGGCAAUCGGAAUUCUUGGUGUAGCGGUGAAAUGCGUAGAUAUCAAGAGGAACACCUGAGGCGAAGGCGGGUUGCUGGGCUGAUACUGACGCUGAGGCGCGAAAGCUAGGGUAGCAAACGAGU